GGCUCAGUAACACGUGGAUAAUCUGCCCUUAGGUCAGGGAUAACUUCUGGAAACUGAAGUUAAAACCUGAUAUGGAAAUUCUACUUGAAUGUGUUUUUCCGUAAACGUAAGGCCUAAGGAUGAGUUGGCGGUCGAUUAGGUUGUUGGUUGAGGUAAUGGCUCACCAAGCCUAUGAUCGAUAGGGGCCUUGAGAGAGGUAMCCUCGAGAAGGGCAYUGAGAUACUUGGCCCUAGUCCUACGGGGUGCAGCAGGCGCGAAACCUUUACAAUGCGCGAAAAUGUGAUAAGGGAAUCCCGAGUGCCCUGCUUUUAGUAAGGCUUUUGCCAUGUGUAAAAAGCAUGGCGAAUAAGUGGUGGGUAAGACUUGUGCCGGCCGCCGCGGUAACACCAGCGCCACAAGUGGCAACCGCUUUUAUUGGGCCUAAAGCGUCCGUAGCCGGUUCGGUAAAUUUCCUGUGAAAUCGUUGGGCUUAACUUAACGUUGUGCAGGAAAGACUACUGAACUUGGGACCGGGAGGCGUCAGAGGUAUUCUUGAGGGAGCGGUAAAAUGCUAUAAUCUCAGGAGGACCACCGAUGGCGAAGGCAUCUGACGAGAACGGAUCCGACCGGUGAGGGACGAAAACUAGGGGAGCAAACCGGAUUAGAUACCCCGAGUAGUCCUAGCUGUAAACUCUGCGAGCUAGGUGUUACGUAUUCUUCGGGAAUACGUAGUGUCGUAGCGAAGGUGUUAAGCUCGCCGCCUGGGAAUUAUGGUCGCAAGACUGAAACUCAAAGGAAUUGACGG
Molecule: ribosomal RNA, 784 nt
Filed under: uncultured archaeon
Lineage: Archaea
Description: bacterial SSU rRNA
Rfam family: Archaeal small subunit ribosomal RNA
Source: RNAcentral